UGGGGAAUUUUGGACAAUGGGCGCAAGCCUGAUCCAGCCAUGCCGCGUGCGGGAAGAAGGCCUUCGGGUUGUAAACCGCUUUCGGCCGGAACGAAAUCGCCCGGGUGAAUAGCCCGGGUGGAUGACGGUACCAGAAGAAGAAGCACCGGCUAACUACGUGCCAGCAGCCGCGGUAAUACGUAGGGUGCGAGCGUUAAUCGGAAUUACUGGGCGUAAAGCGUGCGCAGGCGGUCUCGUAAGACAGGUGUGAAAUCCCCGGGCUCAACCUGGGAACUGCGCUUGUGACUGCGAGGCUGGAGUGUGGCAGAGGGAGGUGGAAUUCCACGUGUAGCAGUGAAAUGCGUAGAGAUGUGGAGGAACACCGAUGGCGAAGGCAGCCUCCUGGGCCAGGCACUGACGCUCAUGCACGAAAGCGUGGGGAGCAAACAGGAUUAGAUACCCUGGUAGUCCACGCCCUAAACG
This 462-nucleotide ribosomal RNA is filed under the name uncultured Pseudomonadota bacterium. RNAcentral describes it as "bacterial SSU rRNA". It matches the Rfam family "Bacterial small subunit ribosomal RNA", at positions 355 to 808 of the family's 1533-position model. Lineage: Bacteria; Pseudomonadati; Pseudomonadota. The record is from RNAcentral.